Paramormyrops kingsleyae is the source of this 886-nucleotide long non-coding RNA. RefSeq lists it as uncharacterized. The record is from RefSeq and is a predicted model, not a curated record. Lineage: Eukaryota; Metazoa; Chordata; Actinopteri; Osteoglossiformes; Mormyridae.
ACAUUCAUUCUUCUUGAGAGGUUCGAGUCCGACAAGUGAGGCUGGCACACUCAGCCCAGAAUCCUAACUGCGAACUUGUGUAAACAUUCCAGUACACAGUCCCAGACUCCUGCACAGUAUUAAUAACACUUUGCAAUACGGCACUGUCACAUUUAGCUUUUCCUGUAUCUUUCCUUCAUAUGAACCUGACAGGGGCACAUAAAUGCAGAUGGGGCAGCUGUUGACUUUUUGGUGACGGGGAAACUGAAUGGCACUUACCCCUGCCAACCUGCAGACACCCAAUCAGCUGGCUCCGCCAACCUGCAGACACCCAAUCAGCUGGCUCCGCCAACCCGCCAUUACCUCAUCAGCCUUGUCUGUGAAGUCGCCUUUGAAGUCCCCAAAAGCAUUGUAAAGGUUAUGAAGCCAGAUAUCUCAGUCGGGUUAAGUGCCUGACUCAAAGGUUCUUCAAAUGCUGGGAUAGCCCAAGACCGCCAUAGCCAUCUGAUCCCCACCACAGGGUGCCACCAGCAUCCUGACCAACGAUCACAAGAACAGAUCCACGUCUGAGAAUGUUCCGGCACAUUCCAGAAAAUGUCCCCUCAGCGUCCUGGCCCGGGCUGCCAAACCACCUGACCACAAUCCCCUACCUUCAGUCUUUGAGGAGCAGUUGUAUCUGCUGCAUUUUUGAACCGUGACUCGUCCAUUUAUUAUAGUUAUUUUCCAGGACUGUUUUCACUCCUGAAGGGAAAAUGCAAUCUGCUCAGUUUUCUCCAUAUUGACAAAUAGGUUUUGAUUCCUGCUGGGAAACCUACUAUAAAGCAACAACUGCGAUACGUGAAAUAAAAUUUGAAUAUUCUGAUUGAAGUAUUACAUUGCCGCAAUUUCACAAGCCUUUACAAGAUGA